GAUGAACGCUGGCGGCGUGCCUAAUACAUGCAAGUCGAACGCUGGAAAUCUAGCUUGCUAGAUUGAAGGAGUGGCGAACGGGUGAGUAAUACAUAAGCAACCUACCCACGAAGACUGGGAUAAUCUCUGGAAACGGGGACUAAUACCGGAUAGGUAAUCGGAAGGCAUCUUCUGAUUAUUAAAGGUUAAAAACACUGGUGGAUGGGCUUAUGGCGCAUUAGUUAGUUGGUGAGGUAACGGCCCACCAAGACGAUGAUGCGUAGCCGGCCUGAGAGGGUGAACGGCCACAUGGGGACUGGGACACGGCCCAGACUCCUACGGGAGGCAGCAGUAGGGAAUUUUCGGCAAUGGGGGAAACCCUGACCGAGCAACGCCGCGUGAGUGAUGACGGCCUUCGGGUUGUAAAGCUCUGUUGUAAGGGAAGAACGGUAGAUAGAGAAUAUCUAAAUGACGGUACCUUACCAGAAAGCCACGGCUAACUACGUG
Molecule: ribosomal RNA, 486 nt
Filed under: uncultured bacterium
Lineage: Bacteria
Description: partial 16S ribosomal RNA
Rfam family: Bacterial small subunit ribosomal RNA
Source: RNAcentral